CUGAAACCGUGUACGUACAAGCAGUAGGAGCACCUUCGUGGUGUGACUGCGUACCUUUUGUAUAAUGGGUCAGCGACUUAUAUUCAGUGGCAAGGUUAACCAUCUAGGGGAGCCGUAGGGAAACCGAGUCUUAACUGGGCGUUCAGUCUCUGGAUAUAGACCCGAAACCAGGUGAUCUAGCCAUGGGCAGGUUGAAGGUUGAGUAACAUCAACUGGAGGACCGAACCGACUAAUGUUGAAAAAUUAGCGGAUGACUUGUGGCUAGGGGUGAAAGGCCAAUCAAACCUGGAGAUAGCUGGUUCUCCCCGAAAGCUAUUUAGGUAGCGCCUCGGACGAAUACUACUGGGGGUAGAGCACUGUUAAGGCUAGGGGGUCAUCCCGACUUACCAACCCUUUGCAAACUCCGAAUACCAGUAAGUACUAUCCGGGAGACACACGGCGGGUGCUAACGUCCGUCGUGGAGAGGGAAACAACCCAGACCGCCAGCUAAGGUCCCAAAUUACUACUAAGUGGGAAACGAUGUGGGAAGGCUCAGACAGCCAGGAUGUUGGCUUAGAAGCAGCCAUCAUUUAAAGAAAGCGUAAUAGCUCACUGGUCGAGUCGGCCUGCGCGGAAGAUGUAACGGGGCUAAGUAGUAAACCGAAGCUGCGGCAAUGUGCUUUUGCACAUUGGGUAGGGGAGCGUUCUGUAAGCGGUUGAAGGUGUGUGGUAACGCAUGCUGGACGUAUCAGAAGUGCGAAUGCUGACAUGAGUAACGAUAAAGGGGGUGAAAAACCUCCUCGCCGGAAGACCAAGGGUUCCUGUCCAACGUUAAUCGGGGCAGGGUAAGUCGACCCCUAAGGCGAGGCCGAAAGGCGUAGUCGAUGGGAAACGGGUUAAUAUUCCCGUACUUCUUACAAUUGCGAUGGGGGGACGGAGAAGGCUAGGUGGGCCUGGCGACGGUUGUCCAGGUUCAAGUGCGUAGGCUUAAGAGUUAGGUAAAUCCGGCUCUUUCUAAGGCUGAGACACGACGUCGAGCACCUACGGGUGUGAAGUCAUUGAUGCCAUGCUUCCAGGAAAAGCCUCUAAGCUUCAGAUUGUAAGGAAUCGUACCCCAAACCGACACAGGUGGUCGGGUAGAGAAUACCAAGGCGCUUGAGAGAACUCGGGUGAAGGAACUAGGCAAAAUGGUACCGUAACUUCGGGAGAAGGUACGCUCUCGACGGUGAAGUCCCUCGCGGAUGGAGCUAUUGAGAGUCGCAGAUACCAGGUGGCUGCAACUGUUUAUUAAAAACACAGCACUGUGCAAAAUCGUAAGAUGACGUAUACGGUGUGACGCCUGCCCGGUGCCGGAAGGUUAAUUGAUGGGGUUAGACUUCGGUCGAAGCUCUUGAUCGAAGCCCCGGUAAACGGCGGCCGUAACUAUAACGGUCCUAAGGUAGCGAAAUUCCUUGUCGGGUAAGUUCCGACCUGCACGAAUGGCGUAAUGAUGGCCACGCUGUCUCCACCCGAGACUCAGUGAAAUUGAAAUCGCUGUGAAGAUGCAGUGUACCCGCGGCUAGACGGAAAGACCCCGUGAACCUUUACUACAGCUUGGCACUGAACAUUGACCCUACAUGUGUAGGAUAGGUGGGAGGCUUUGAAGCACGUACGCCAGUAUGUGUGGAGCCGUCCUUGAAAUACCACCCUUGUAGUGUUGAUGUUCUAACGUCGACCCCUUAUCGGGGUUGCGGACAGUGCCUGGUGGGUAGUUUGACUGGGGCGGUCUCCUCCCAAAGAGUAACGGAGGAGCACGAAGGUGGGCUAAUCACGGUUGGACAUCGUGAGGUUAGUGCAAUGGCAUAAGCCCGCUUGACUGCGAGAAUGACAAUUCGAGCAGGUGCGAAAGCAGGUCAUAGUGAUCCGGUGGUUCUGAAUGGAAGGGCCAUCGCUCAACGGAUAAAAGGUACUCCGGGGAUAACAGGCUGAUACCGCCCAAGAGUUCAUAUCGACGGCGGUGUUUGGCACCUCGAUGUCGGCUCAUCACAUCCUGGGGCUGAAGUCGGUCCCAAGGGUAUGGCUGUUCGCCAUUUAAAGUGGUACGCGAGCUGGGUUUAGAACGUCGUGAGACAGUUCGGUCCCUAUCUGCCGUGGGCGUUGGAAGAUUGAAGGGGGCUGCUCCUAGUACGAGAGGACCGGAGUGGACGAACCUCUGGUGUUCGGGUUGUGUCGCCAGACGCAUUGCCCGGUAGCUAAGUUCGGAAUCGAUAACCGCUGAAAGCAUCUAAGCGGGAAGCGAGCCCUGAGAUGAGUCUUCCCUGAUACUUUAAGUAUCCUAAAGGGUUGUCGGAGACUACGACGUUGAUAGGUCAGGUGUGUAAGUGCUGUGAGGCAUUGAGCUAACUGAUACUAAUUGCCCGUGAGGCUUAACCAUACAACACCCAAGGGGUUU
RNAcentral lists this ribosomal RNA (2410 nucleotides) under Vibrio parahaemolyticus. Its description in RNAcentral is "partial 23S ribosomal RNA". It matches the Rfam family "Bacterial large subunit ribosomal RNA", at positions 550 to 2925 of the family's 2925-position model. The record is from RNAcentral. Lineage: Bacteria; Pseudomonadati; Pseudomonadota; Gammaproteobacteria; Vibrionales; Vibrionaceae.